This 484-nucleotide ribosomal RNA is filed under the name uncultured bacterium. Its description in RNAcentral is "partial 16S ribosomal RNA". It matches the Rfam family "Bacterial small subunit ribosomal RNA", at positions 29 to 507 of the family's 1533-position model. The record is from RNAcentral.
AUUGAACGCUGGCGGCAGGCCUAACACAUGCAAGUCGAGCGGAUGAAGGGAGCUUGCUCCUGGAUUCAGCGGCGGACGGGUGAGUAAUGCCUAGGAAUCUGCCUGGUAGUGGGGGAUAACGUCCGGAAACGGGCGCUAAUACCGCAUACGUCCUGAGGGAGAAAGUGGGGGAUCUUCGGACCUCACGCUAUCAGAUGAGCCUAGGUCGGAUUAGCUAGUUGGUGGGGUAAAGGCCUACCAAGGCGACGAUCCGUAACUGGUCUGAGAGGAUGAUCAGUCACAGGGGACAGGAAAAAGGGUCAGAACCCAAAGGGGGGGAGGAAGGGGGAAAUAGGGAAAAUGGGGGAAAGGCGUGAUCCAGAAAGGCGGGGGGGGGAAAGAAGUUCUGGGGAUUGAAAAGCAUUUAAGGUGGGGAGGAAGGGAAAAAAGUAAAUACCUGGUUUUUUUGAGUUAACAAAAAAAAAAAGAACGGAAAAACUUGGUG